This 440-nucleotide ribosomal RNA is filed under the name uncultured bacterium. RNAcentral's name for it is "partial 16S ribosomal RNA". It matches the Rfam family "Bacterial small subunit ribosomal RNA", at positions 338 to 795 of the family's 1533-position model. The record is from RNAcentral.
CCUACGGGAGGCAGCAGUGGGGAAUAUUGCACAAUGGGGGAAACCCUGAUGCAGCGACGCCGCGUGAGUGAAGAAGUAUUUCGGUAUGUAAAGCUCUAUCAGCAGGGAAGAAAAUGACGGUACCUGAUUAAGAAGCCCCGGCUAACUACGUGCCAGCAGCCGCGGUAAUACGUAGGGGGCAAGCGUUAUCCGGAUUUACUGGGUGUAAAGGGAGCGUAGACGGCAGCACAAGUCUGGAGUGAAAUGCCGGGGCUUAACCCCGGAACUGCUUUGGAACCUGUGCAGCUGGAGUGCAGGAGAGGUAAGUGGAAUUCCUAGUGUAGCGGUGAAAUGCGUAGAUAUUAGGAGGAACACCAGUGGCGAAGGCGGCUUACUGGACUGUAACUGACGUUGAGGCUCGAAAGCGUGGGGAGCAAACAGGAUUAGAUACCCUUGUAGUC